GCCAUAGCUCAAUGGUAGAGCAUCUGCUUUGCAUGCAGAAGGUCCCAGGCUCAGUGUCUGGCACCUUCAACA
Molecule: non-coding RNA, 72 nt
Organism: Podarcis lilfordi (Lilford's wall lizard)
Lineage: Eukaryota; Metazoa; Chordata; Lepidosauria; Squamata; Lacertidae
Source: the annotation of a GenBank genome assembly